UACGAAGGGUGCAAACGUUGCUCGGAAUCAUUGGGCGUAAAGCGCACGUAGGCGGCUUCAUAAGUCGGAUGUGAAAUCCCUCGGCUCAACCGAGGAAGUGCAUCCGAAACUGCGAGGCUCGAGUAUGGAAGAGGGUCGCAGAAUUCCCGGUGUAGAGGUGAAAUUCGUAGAUAUUCGGAAGAACACCAGUGGCGAAGGCGACAUACUGGUCCGUUACUGACGCUGAGGCUCGAAAGCGUGGGGAGCAAACAGG
Molecule: ribosomal RNA, 253 nt
Filed under: uncultured bacterium
Lineage: Bacteria
Description: partial 16S ribosomal RNA
Rfam family: Bacterial small subunit ribosomal RNA
Source: RNAcentral